CUUGUACACACCGCCCGUCACACCAUGGGAGUGGGUUUCACCAGAAGUAGUUGGCCUAACCGCAAGGAGGGCGACUACCACGGUGAGAUUCAUGACCGGGGUG
RNAcentral lists this ribosomal RNA (103 nucleotides) under uncultured bacterium. RNAcentral's name for it is "partial 16S ribosomal RNA". It matches the Rfam family "Bacterial small subunit ribosomal RNA", at positions 1380 to 1482 of the family's 1533-position model. The record is from RNAcentral.